This 373-nucleotide long non-coding RNA is filed under the name Astyanax mexicanus (Mexican tetra). RNAcentral's name for it is "lncRNA (ENSAMXG00005024739.1)". Lineage: Eukaryota; Metazoa; Chordata; Actinopteri; Characiformes; Acestrorhamphidae. The record is from RNAcentral.
AGCGGCUACUUUUUUACUUUCUUUUUUUUUUUUUUUCUUCUUCUACUUCUUUUUUUUAACACCCCUCCCUCACUCACACCCUCUCCUCCUCCUCUUCCACCACCACCACCACCUCCUCCUCCAUCUUCUCCUCCUCUCUUUUUUUCAGUGUUAAAGAAGAAAGAAGGAAAGAAAGAAGGAGGAAAAAAAUAAAUGAAUCGAUCGGGCUCAACAAUCAUGUGGACGUGAACGUCGCGUUCGAGUCAAGCACGCGCGCAAGACUUUGUUUUUACAUGUAUUAUUUCGUACGCACGAAAGGAGGAAAGGUCCAGAGACACAGGGGUGACACUUCUGCGCCAGCCUCCGAGUGGAUCAUGUGGCGGCCCGGUUCACA